This 204-nucleotide ribosomal RNA is filed under the name Ceratocystiopsis ranaculosa. RNAcentral describes it as "partial small subunit ribosomal RNA". It matches the Rfam family "Eukaryotic small subunit ribosomal RNA", at positions 1334 to 1562 of the family's 1831-position model. Lineage: Eukaryota; Fungi; Ascomycota; Sordariomycetes; Ophiostomatales; Ophiostomataceae. The record is from RNAcentral.
AACGAGACCUUAACCUGCUAAAUAGCCCACGUUGCUUCGGCAGCGCGCUGGCUUCUUAGAGGGACUAUCGGCUCAAGCCGAUGGAAGUUUGAGGCAAUAACAGGUCUGUGAUGCCCUUAGAUGUUCUGGGCCGCACGCGCCCUACACUGACGGAGCCAGCGAGUCCUCCCUUGGCCGAAAGGCCUGGGUAAUCUUGUGAAACUC